GAUGAACGCUGGCGGCGUGCCUAAUACAUGCAAGUCGAGCGAACGGACGAGAAGCUUGCUUCCCUGAUGUUAGCGGCGGACGGGUGAGUAACACGUGGAUAACCUACCUAUAAGACUGGGAUAACUUCGGGAAACCGGAGCUAAUACCGGAUAAUAUUUUGAACCGCAUGGUUCAAAAGUGAAAGACGGUCUUGCUGUCACUUAUAGAUGGAUCCGCGCUGCAUUAGCUAGUUGGUAAGGUAACGGCUUACCAAGGCAACGAUGCGUAGCCGACCUGAGAGGGUGAUCGGCCACACUGGAACUGAGACACGGUCCAGACUCCUACGGGAGGCAGCAGUAGGGAAUAUUCCGCAAUGGGCGAAAGCCUGACGGAGCAACGCCGCGUGAGUGAUGAAGGUCUUCGGAUCGUAAAACUCUGUUAUUAGGGAAGAACAUAUGUGUAAGUAACUGUGCACAUCUUGACGGUACCUAAUCAGAAAGCCACGGCUAACUACGUG
This 497-nucleotide ribosomal RNA is filed under the name uncultured bacterium. RNAcentral describes it as "partial 16S ribosomal RNA". It matches the Rfam family "Bacterial small subunit ribosomal RNA", at positions 28 to 507 of the family's 1533-position model. The record is from RNAcentral.